RNAcentral lists this ribosomal RNA (474 nucleotides) under uncultured Rikenellaceae bacterium. Its description in RNAcentral is "bacterial SSU rRNA". It matches the Rfam family "Bacterial small subunit ribosomal RNA", at positions 908 to 1382 of the family's 1533-position model. The record is from RNAcentral. Lineage: Bacteria; Pseudomonadati; Bacteroidota; Bacteroidia; Bacteroidales; Rikenellaceae.
AAUUGACGGGGGCCCGCACAAGCGGUGGAGCAUGUGGUUUAAUUCGAUGAUACGCGAGGAACCUUACCUGGGCUAGAACGCAUUCGGAAUCAGGCCGAAAGGCCUGCGCCAGCGAUGGCCGCUUGCGAGGUGCUGCAUGGUUGUCGUCAGCUCGUGCCGUGAGGUGUCGGGUUAAGUCCCAUAACGAGCGCAACCCCUACUGCUAGUUGCCAGCGGGUCAUGCCGGGGACUCUAGCGGAACUGCCAGCGUAAGCUGCGAGGAAGGUGGGGAUGACGUCAAAUCAGCACGGCCCUUACGUCCAGGGCUACACACGUGUUACAAUGGCCGGUACAGAGGGCAGCCACCCCGCGAGGGGGCGCGAAUCCCGAAAGCCGGUCCCAGUUCGGAUCGGAGUCUGCAACCCGACUCCGUGAAGCUGGAUUCGCUAGUAAUCGCGCAUCAGCCACGGCGCGGUGAAUACGUUCCCGGGCCUU